RNAcentral lists this unclassified non-coding RNA (221 nucleotides) under Hevea brasiliensis (rubber tree). Lineage: Eukaryota; Viridiplantae; Streptophyta; Magnoliopsida; Malpighiales; Euphorbiaceae. The record is from RNAcentral.
GUUUACUACUAAAAGUUAACCAAAUUGGCACAAUAACUGAAUCAAUUAGAGCUGCUCUUGAUUCAAAAGCUGCAGGCUGGGGGGUGAUGGUCAGUCACCGUAGUGGCGAAACGGAAGAUAAUUUUAUCGCUGAUCUAUCUGUUGGUCUGGCCACUGGACAGAUAAAAACUGGAGCCCCUUGUCGGAGUGAACGUCUGGCCAAAUAUAAUCAGCUUCUCCGG